RNAcentral lists this ribosomal RNA (253 nucleotides) under uncultured bacterium. RNAcentral's name for it is "partial 16S ribosomal RNA". It matches the Rfam family "Bacterial small subunit ribosomal RNA", at positions 524 to 776 of the family's 1533-position model. The record is from RNAcentral.
UACGUAGGGUGCAAGCGUUGUCCGGAAUUAUUGGGCGUAAAGAGCUCGUAGGCGGUCUGUCGCGUCUGCUGUGAAAACUCGGGGCUUAACCCGGCCUGCAGUGGGUGACGGGCAGACUAGAGUGCGGUAGGGGAGACUGGAAUUCCUGGUGUAGCGGUGAAAUGCGCAGAUAUCAGGAGGAACACCGGUGGCGAAGGCGGGUCUCUGGGCCGUAACUGACGCUGAGGAGCGAAAGCGUGGGGGAGCGAACAGG